UCAAUUGUGUCACUGUAGAGGUCAUCCAUCUCUACUGCUCACACGAUGUUGUAGCAUAAGAUGAUUAUGUGUGCAAGAUUAGGCUUCUUCUUAAGAAUUUCAGGUCAUGGACUAAUAGGUGAAUGAGUUGGUACCUGGAACUCAAACUGUUAGGUGACUUGCUUGGCUCAAUUUUCUUGUGCAGACACUUCUUGUGAUUAUGUGGCAAGUGGAGAUGCAAUUGGCGG
This 227-nucleotide long non-coding RNA is filed under the name Hordeum vulgare. Its description in RNAcentral is "long non-coding RNA (HVUL_LNC019305)". The record is from RNAcentral. Lineage: Eukaryota; Viridiplantae; Streptophyta; Magnoliopsida; Poales; Poaceae.